This 388-nucleotide long non-coding RNA is filed under the name Gallus gallus (chicken). RNAcentral's name for it is "lncRNA (ENSGALG00010028294.1)". The record is from RNAcentral. Lineage: Eukaryota; Metazoa; Chordata; Aves; Galliformes; Phasianidae.
GUAUUUUUUUGGCUAUAACCAGCCAGAUAACUUAAAGAAGGAGAAUGCAAUUACUCACUCAUAGGGGCAUGCAGAUCUGAUUUUUCUACUUUUCUGCAGUGCUUUUCACAUUUUGAGCUCUAAAUUCCCUCAUGCAGAAGUGCCAUAUGCAGUCUUUGAAAGCUUUUUUGAAGGAAUCCGUGAUUCUUCAGCCGCUUUGCCAUCUUCUCCAGAGGUGUGCUGAGGAUUUCACACAACACAGCAGGAGGCACGUAAGGUUAUUCCAGCCUGGUUAGAUGGAAGAAAUGCUGUGACCAGGAAAGAUGCCAGCGAGUCAGGGCUGGGCAAUUACUACAGCUGUUCAAAGAAGCACACUGGGCAGUAAUGAAUACCUGUCAUGCUUUCCCAG